RNAcentral lists this ribosomal RNA (247 nucleotides) under uncultured bacterium. RNAcentral's name for it is "partial 16S ribosomal RNA". It matches the Rfam family "Bacterial small subunit ribosomal RNA", at positions 523 to 769 of the family's 1533-position model. The record is from RNAcentral.
AGACGUAGGAUGCAAGCGUUGUCCGGAUUCAUUGGGCGUAAAGAGUUCGUAGGCGGUUUGCUAAGUCUGAUGUUAAAGACCGGGGCUCAACCUCGGAAAUGCAUUGGAUACUGGCAGACUGGAGUGCAGUAGAGGCUAGUGGAAUUCCCAGUGUAGCGGUGAAAUGCGUAGAUAUUGGGAAGAACACCGGUGGCGUAGGCGACUAGCUGGGCUGUAACUGACGCUGAGGAACGAAAGCCAGGGGAGC